GAUGAACGUUGGCGGCGUGUCUAAUACAUGCAAGUCGAACGAGGAGCCUUGAAGUUUGUAUUCGUACAGACGGACGGGAUUUCCUAGUGGCGAACGGGUGAGUAACGCGUUGGUGACCUGCCCCGAAGUGGGGGAUAACUCUGGGAAACUGGAGCUAAUACCCCAUGUGGUCAUUUGGAUUAGAUGCCAGAUGACGAACGGAUUUAUUCGCUUCGGGAGGGGCCUGCGUCCCAUCAGCUAGUUGGUAAGGUAACGGCUUACCAAGGCGACGACGGGUAGGGGGCCUGAGAGGGUGGCCCCCCACAAUGGUACUGAAACACGGACCAUACACCUACGGGUGGCAGCAGUAGGGAAUAUUGGACAAUGGGCGAAAGCCUGAUCCAGCAACGCCGCGUGUGCGAUGAAGGCCUUCGGGUCGUAAAGCACUUUUCUGAGGGAAGAGAAAGGACGGUACCUCAGGAAUAAGUCUCGGCUAACUACGUG
RNAcentral lists this ribosomal RNA (483 nucleotides) under uncultured Chloroflexota bacterium. Its description in RNAcentral is "bacterial SSU rRNA". It matches the Rfam family "Bacterial small subunit ribosomal RNA", at positions 28 to 507 of the family's 1533-position model. The record is from RNAcentral. Lineage: Bacteria; Bacillati; Chloroflexota.